This 253-nucleotide ribosomal RNA is filed under the name uncultured bacterium. RNAcentral's name for it is "partial 16S ribosomal RNA". It matches the Rfam family "Bacterial small subunit ribosomal RNA", at positions 524 to 776 of the family's 1533-position model. The record is from RNAcentral.
CACGUAGGAGGCGAGCGUUGUCCGGAAUCAUUGGGCGUAAAGAGCUCGUAGGCGGUCUGUCGCGUCGAAUGUGAAAACCCGGGGCUCAACUCCGGGCUUGCAUUCGAUACGGGCAGGCUAGAGUUCGGUAGGGGAGACUGGAAUUCCUGGUGUAGCGGUGAAAUGCGCAGAUAUCAGGAGGAACACCGGUGGCGAAGGCGGGUCUCUGGGCCGAUACUGACGCUGAGGAGCGAAAGCGUGGGGAGCAAACAGG